GCAGCCGCGGUAAUACGGAAGGUCCGGGCGUUAUCCGGAUUUAUUGGGUUUAAAGGGAGCGUAGGCCGGAGAUUAAGCGUGUUGUGAAAUGUAGACGCUCAACGUCUGCACUGCAGCGCGAACUGGUUUCCUUGAGUACGCACAAAGUGGGCGGAAUUCGUGGUGUAGCGGUGAAAUGCUUAGAUAUCACGAAGAACUCCGAUUGCGAAGGCAGCUCACUGGAGCGCAACUGACGCUGAAGCUCGAAAGUGCGGGUAUCGAACAGGAUUAGAUACCCC
Molecule: ribosomal RNA, 278 nt
Filed under: uncultured Prevotella sp.
Lineage: Bacteria; Pseudomonadati; Bacteroidota; Bacteroidia; Bacteroidales; Prevotellaceae
Description: partial 16S ribosomal RNA
Rfam family: Bacterial small subunit ribosomal RNA
Source: RNAcentral